Papaver somniferum (opium poppy) is the source of this 1510-nucleotide RNA transcript. RefSeq lists it as uncharacterized. Lineage: Eukaryota; Viridiplantae; Streptophyta; Magnoliopsida; Ranunculales; Papaveraceae. The transcript is spliced from 9 exons. The record is from RefSeq and is a predicted model, not a curated record.
GGUACUCUCUUCUUUUCCAGCGACCACCACAGCGCCUCUCUCUUGAUAAACCACCAUCAAUUAAUUAAGUGACACGUCGGUAUGACUGAGAUUCUAUUUACUGCCUGAGUUCCAAAACAAGUGGGUGGGAAGAUUCGGAAGAAACAAUAAAAAUGGCAGCAAUCUGUUGUAUUCGAGUCUCAACCCAACCUUCUCCUGCAAGUAAUUUAAGGUUUCAAUGCUGGGCUAGUUCAAAGAACAAAAGAAGAGAUACAGCUCCGUGUAUUCUAAAGAUAGCAGUGAGUGGGAUUACAGAAAUUCUUAGAAUUUUCUCUCCAAGCAAUCCAAACCGGACUUAUUUACAACAAGGAUUGGAUACUACUGUGAAUAAUGUCAAGAAAGAUGAAACUUUGGUUUCUGGUAUAGAUGAUAUUGUGUCGAUCCUUCAAUCAGAUUAUGAGAAGGCUUAUUUUCUUACAGGGAAUUUUAGUUCGGCAAUUUAUACUGAAGAUUGCAUCUUUGAAGACCCAACUAUUAAAUUCAGUGGUAGAGAUCUCUAUUCGCGCAAUUUGAAGUUGCUUGUGCCGUUUUUCGACUCUCCUUCACUUGUACUACAACGGAUUGAGAAGGAUAUGAGUUCCGAAGUAAAUUAUGUGCUAGCAACAUGGAAAUUAAGAACCUAUCUGAGACUUCCAUGGAGGCCUCUGAUUUCUAUAGAAGGAAGUACAGUUUAUGACUUGAAUGAUGAGUUCAAAAUCUUUAGACAUUGCGAGAGUUGGAAUAUCUCUGCUCUAGAAGCUGUUGGCCAAAUAUUCAAUUUUAGCUUUGAAAGUAGUGGUGAAUGAGCACUGGGUGGCUGUACCAAGAGAUCUGGGGUUCAAAUCCUAUUUAAACGAGGGGUUUCUUUGUUUCCUUACAUAAGUUGGGUUUUAUUGCCGAGGAAAACUGCUGUCAGGGUUUCAUGAAGAGAGAAGAGUAGGUGCUAAGGAAAGAGCCAUGAAAGUGAAAGUUAAAAAAAAGUACAGGUCCAUAAAGAAGUAAGAAAAAGUUUGAUUCUAUGAAGACGUGGCGCAUUUCUAUACGUUGGAUUGAAUGAGAAAACAAAAGUGUAAAAAAGUGGUGCUUUUAGAUGGCUGUAUUCUUCGUUGUGCUUGUAAGGUUAUGGAAGAAGUGUUACGUAACUUGUGUUAAGUGUUUCCUUAACAUAGAAGAGAGAGACUCACUCUAGACUAGAGUGAUUGCCAGCAAGUUGAAGGGAAGAGCCGUUGGAGCAAAUGCUUCUUCUUUUUCUCUUUAGGUUUUUAAUUGAUUGUGUUGCGUUUGUCCUUGUGGUUGCACGAUAACCUCCUCAUACCUAAUUACGAAAAGAUUUCUACUUAGUAAACUAAAAUGCCACUCGGUAAAGAUGAAUCAUAUAGAUAUUGCACGAUAGAUUAUCUUCAAGUAAUUUGUUCAUUAUGUUUUCUGUAAUUUGGUUUUGAGUUGGGUGCCUAAUACGAUUUCAUAUUUUCCUCGAGACCUGAUCAUAAUG